CAUGUAGGAAUUUAAAAGUUGAACAAACUUCUUUUCAUCAACUUCUUCGCCGAAAAAGAAUCCUAAUCCAACAUCGAGGUCGCAAACUAUUUUAUCUAUAUGAACUAUCCAAAAUUAUUACGCUGUUAUCCCUAGAGUAUUUUUUUCAUUUAAUCGCUAAAAACGGAACCAACUUUUAUUUUAAAAAAGAUACUUAUUCUUUUUUUAUCACCCCAAAUAAACUUUUUUUAAAAUAAAAAAUUAAAAAAAAAAUAAAAAUUCAUAGGGUCUUCUUGUCCCUAAUUUAAAUUUUUGCUUUUGCACUAAAAAAUCAAAUUUAAUUAUUUAAUUAAAGAAAGCCUCUAAUUGUUCAACCAUUCUCUUAGCACUCAUUUAAAAUCUUAUUUCAAUACCUUCGUAUAGUCAAAAUACCACAGCAAUUUAAAUAAUCAUUGAGCAGGUUAUACAUCUUAUUACUCUUCAAGAUGAAAUGUUUUUGU
This 479-nucleotide ribosomal RNA is filed under the name Ixodes nipponensis. RNAcentral describes it as "partial 16S ribosomal RNA". Lineage: Eukaryota; Metazoa; Arthropoda; Arachnida; Ixodida; Ixodidae. The record is from RNAcentral.